Molecule: long non-coding RNA, 2785 nt
Organism: Crocodylus porosus (Australian saltwater crocodile)
Lineage: Eukaryota; Metazoa; Chordata; Crocodylia; Crocodylidae
Source: Ensembl
CCUGCACCCCCUACUUACCAGCAUGGAGUCUGGGUCCAGCUUCCUGCUUCAGUGGGUGGGGACUGCCCAAAUCACUGAAGCUCUCCAAAUCUUUUCCAAAUCGAUUCAGACCUUUAAAUUGGUCCCCUGAUUCAAUUUGGAUUCAGAGAUUUGGCUGUCAAAUUGGGCCAAAUCUCCUCUGAAUCCUUUUUCCAUGACUUAGUUGAGAGAAGAGGACUUGCUUUGGGAGAUGAGUGGCAGCCGUCCUCACACAGUGGCCAGCCCAGCAGAGUUGAUGUUUCAUGAUCUUUGCCCCAUUGCAGGUUAUGGUAGCUUCAGAGAGGAUGCUGGUAUUGGUGCGGUGGUCUUUCCAGCUCCGACUUCCAGAGGCAAUGCUGAUGGAACUGUUCCAGGUGCUUAAGAUGACUUUGAUACAUCACCCACAUCUCACACCCGUAGAGGAGCAUGGGGAUAACCAUUGCAUUGUAGACCAGCAUCUCAGUUUCCGUCUGCAGAUCUUGGUCAUCAAAGACACAGCAAAGCAGCUUUCCAAAGGAUACACUGGCACAGUGAAUCCUAUGUUCAAUUUUUACAUCAAGACUGGCUGGCUGGGAAAGGUGACUGCCAAGGUAUGGGAAACUGAAAAUGUUCUGCAGGGAAAAAGCUAAAGAAAAAGUGGACCUGAGUUAGGAUAAAAGCUCUAAGAAGAGACAUUCUCUUCAGAGGCUGUUUAUUUCUAUCUGCCUCUGGGUUUCCCCACAAAUGUUCACCAUAGGGCCUAUUCCUUCAAAGACAGUGCGUGCACAACUCCCACUGAGGUCACACACACUUCUUAGCCAAGGGGUCUGCUGAGCUUCUCUAAAGUAUGCCCUACCCAGUAUCGAUACAGUUGUGAACGCCAUGGUAUGGGUUCCCUGCAUACGUGUUUUCUUUUCAGGGCAGCAGGCAGGUGCAUAUGCAAGCUUUCUGAGAACACAGUAUCCCUGACUAAGCCUAGAGGCGUGAAUGAACUCAGUGGUCAAGGCAACUCACUGGAUCUACCUUCUUGGCAGUCGUCAUGUUUCCUGGGAAUGUAUCAAAAUAAUCUAUUGGAAACACAUGAUCUGCUUUUUUCCCCCUUUUCUUCUUUUGUAAAGAGAGGGAGAAAUGAAACCAUAUGUUUUGGGAGGCCAGGAACAGAUUCCAGGAAAGUUUUGUUCUCAGUUAACUUGAAACAUUUUGCUGGCACGUUUUCAUUGAGUAUGUGCGUUGUUGUUUUUUUCUUUUUAAUAGGUCACCAUAUUUCUCUAACUGCUUUUCAAGUAAAUAUAUUCCCAAAGAUAUGUUUAAAGGUGCCAGAGAGUUCCCAGAGCUAAACUGAAACCCUCCUCCUUUUUUUUUGGCUAGGGGCUUCUGGGAGAUGAGACUUUAUCUGUAUCUUGGGAGCUAGGUUUCUUCUGAGAAUCCCUUUCUUUCUUCUGCUUUUUUUCCUAGCUAGGUUGAGUUUUCCUGUCCUCAAACUUCCCCAGAGAGCUUAGAUUACUCUUGUCAAACUCUCCAAGCUUCUAACUGCAGGAGGACUCAAACCCUGCCAGGAUUUGAGCUUUCCCUGGCAAACAUGCCUCGUAUUUAGGAGUCAGCUUUGACUCCAGUGGUUUGUGUGUUUGCCACUACGCUCUAAACUUCCUCCAGCUGCACAGAAGACCUAGAGGCUGUGCACACAUACAGUCUCGCUGGGAAAGCUUGGGUUCAGACUGCAUUUUGUAAAUGCCUGUUUCAGCCCCUUUGCAGCUUGCUGUGGAGAACAAUAGUUUCAGAAGGUGAUUUUGAGCUUAAAAAAGACCAUGUAAAAAUAGCACCCCUUUACUUCAGUCCUGCUCCAGGCCUGGCUCCAGUCUCCUCCUUUUACUGCAGUAGUAGAAGCUCAAUACUCCUCUUGCUUUUGCCAGCUCUGUGGAGCUACCACAGCUAUGGGAGGGUCUGUUUACACUGCAGCCUCUGCUGCGAUGGCUGCUGGCAUUGCUGUAUGAGCUCUGGAUGAUCUAGCUGGUUAUAGCUAGCUAUACAGCAUGGUAUAUUCGGCAUGGGCUGCAAAACCUGCUGAGAAGCAGGGUAAAUGCAUGGGUUGCCGUCCUGUAUUCUACCACAGCUACAGAGCCGGCAGUACCCGACCUAGCUAGUUUAGAGCUGGUUUGGUUAUGUCCACGUGAGCUGCUGGCACAGUAGUGAGUCCAGUGGGGCCAUUCAGAUUCAGUGCCUACCUUGUGCAUCAUUAACUGCAUUGUUGAUCAGGUUGCAGGCACAGGGUCAGCUUGUGCCUUUGUUUUCACCUGUGCAAGAUCUUUGCAGUAGUAGUUGAAGGCAGUGGAGUUGUCUGGGUUAAUUGAGGGCAAAAUGUGCAAGCCGAUAACAUGGACUGGUUUAAAAUGAAGGCAGAAUCAGAUCUAGACAGAGGACAAAAUCUUACCUGACCUGAAGAGUGAAUGCGAUAUGGGAUCCCUAGUACACAAUUCACAUGGACCCUUAUCAUGUUAUUCAGGAGUCCUUUACAAGAGAGCACUGAAUUUUCAUCUUUUCUUGUUCUUUCCAUUUUGAUUCAGAGCCUCUUCUGGCUUCAGAUUAAUCCCUUGUGUCCUGUGCCAUUUUCUCACACAAAUGUGUGCCCCUAAAUACAUACAGAGAUGUUCACUAAACUGCCUACAAGGAGCAUCUGUACCACCUUUCACUACCUGCCAGAUAGGGAGGACUGGUUUCAAUAUCUUCGGAGGGAUGGUCAAGUACUUGGUCAAACAGAGAGUCAUAAUAAAGGUGUCUCUAGUCUGGGGCA